Molecule: ribosomal RNA, 455 nt
Filed under: uncultured Latescibacterota bacterium
Lineage: Bacteria; Pseudomonadati; Candidatus Latescibacterota
Description: bacterial SSU rRNA
Rfam family: Bacterial small subunit ribosomal RNA
Source: RNAcentral
GCGGUGGAGCAUGUGGUUUAAUCGACGCAACGCGAAGAACCUUACCAGGGCUUGACAUCCCCUGACCGCGUAUGAAAGUACGUUUUCACCCUCGGGUGACAGGGAGACAGGUGCUGCAUGGCUGUCGUCAGCUCGUGUCGUGAGAUGUUGGGUUAAGUCCCGCAACGAGCGCAACCCUUAUCCCUAGUUGCCAUCAGGUAAAGCUGGGAACUCUGGGGAGACUGCCGGUGAUAAACCGGAGGAAGGCGGGGAUGACGUCAAGUCCUCAUGGCCCUUACAUCCCGGGCUACACACGUGCUACAAUGGCAGGUACAGAGGGCUGCGAAGCCGCGAGGUGGAGCGAAUCCCAGAAAACCUGUCUCAGUCCGGAUUGAAGUCUGCAACUCGACUUCAUGAAGGCGGAAUCGCUAGUAACCGCGAAUCAGCAGGUCGCGGUGAAUACGUUCCCGGGCCUU